GAAUUUACCCUAUAUAUUAUGGGAUGCUUGAAAUAUUAUUAAGCCUUUUUUUAAAGAAACGAGUUGUUAUACGACAAAACCUAACCGUUGCACCUAAAAAUAUCACCCUUGGGUCUCUAGUUUCAGCACAUAAAGGAAAUUGGCUUCUUAAAGCUCGUAUUCUAGUGCAUCAAAAUUUGUAAUUCAGGAAAACUAAAUGAAUUCGAAACAUAUCUUAGAUCAAAUUAAACGGUUAUUUGUAAUACGUUAAGGGAGUGUUUGUAAUUCUUGAAGUUAGUCACUUGUUUUGUAAUUAGAUCAAAUUUCAACAUUUUUUUGUAAUUCAAAUAUUAAUGACUUGUGAAUUGGAA
This 350-nucleotide long non-coding RNA is filed under the name Erythranthe guttata (spotted monkey flower). Its description in RNAcentral is "long non-coding RNA (EGUT_LNC001640)". The record is from RNAcentral. Lineage: Eukaryota; Viridiplantae; Streptophyta; Magnoliopsida; Lamiales; Phrymaceae.